RNAcentral lists this ribosomal RNA (505 nucleotides) under uncultured bacterium. RNAcentral describes it as "bacterial SSU rRNA". It matches the Rfam family "Bacterial small subunit ribosomal RNA", at positions 50 to 507 of the family's 1533-position model. The record is from RNAcentral.
AAGACAUGCAAGUCGAACGAGAUGGCCCAGUGAAGGUUGCGCGGCUUGCACAAGACUGGAUCUGGAUCACCAUCUAGUGGCAGACGGUGAGUAACACGUGGGUGACCUGCCUUUUCGUUGGGGAUAACAGUUAGAAAUGAUUGCUAAUGCCGGAUGAAAUUGGGAACGAAAUUUCAUUCUUUAUUAAAAGGAGCCUUUAAAGCUUCGCUUGAAGAUGAGCCUGCGACGUAUUAGCUAGUUGGUGGGGUAAGGGCCUACCAAGGCAACGAUGCGUAGCCGACCUGAGAGGGUGAUCGGCCACACUGGGACUGAGACACGGCCCAGACUCCUACGGGAGACAGCAGUUAGGAAUAUUCGUCAAUGGGGGAAACCCUGAACGAGCAAUGCCGCGUGAAGGAUGACGGUCCUAUGGAUUGUAAACUUCUGUUGUUAGGGAAGAACGACUAGUGUAGGAAAUGACACUAGAGUGACGGUACCUUUCAAGAAAGCUCCGGCUAACUACGUG